ACGCGAAGAACCUUACCAGGUCUUGACAUCCUCGGNAANUUNGCAGAGAUGCCUUGGUGCCUUCGGGAACCGAGAGACAGGUGCUGCAUGGCUGUCGUCAGCUCGUGUCGUGAGAUGUUGGGUUAAGUCCCGUAACGAGCGCAACCCUUGUCCUUAGUUGCCAGCGCGUAAUGGCGGGAACUCUAAGGAGACUGCCGGUGACAAACCGGAGGAAGGUGGGGANGANGUCAAGUCAUCAUGGCCCUUACGACNUGGGCUACACACGUGCUACAAUGGAACGCACAGAGGGUUGCAACCUCGCGAGAGUGAGCCAAUCCCACAAAACGUUUNGUAGUCCGGAUCGGAGUCUGCAACUCGACUCCGUGAAGUCGGAAUCGNUAGUAAUCGCGGAUCAGAAUGCCGCGGUGAAUACGUUCCCGGGCCUUGUACACACCGCCCGUCACACCAUGGGAGUGGGUUGCUCCAGAAGUGGUUAGCCUAAC
This 482-nucleotide ribosomal RNA is filed under the name uncultured bacterium. RNAcentral's name for it is "bacterial SSU rRNA". It matches the Rfam family "Bacterial small subunit ribosomal RNA", at positions 959 to 1439 of the family's 1533-position model. The record is from RNAcentral.